UGACAGGGCCCAUGUGUCAGGGGCUUAUCAUGUAAGAAUGCCCAUGGCCAGCUGCAGGUGGAGACCCUCAUGUAGCGACAGCAUGUGCCAGGAAUCCACCAUGAGAGCCCUUAUCAGCCACAGUACCCCCUAACACUCUGGGGCAGGAUUUUUUUUUUUUUUUUUUUGAGACAGAGUCUUGCUCUGUAGCCCAGGCUGGAGUGCAGUGGCAUGAUCUCGGCUCACUGCAACCUCACCUCUCAGGUCCAAGUGAUUCUCCCACCUCAGCCUCCCAGAUAGCUGGGACUACAGGUGCACAUCACCAUGCCCAGGUAAUUUUUUUGUAUUCUUAGUAGAGACAGUAUUUCACCAUGUUGGCCAGGCUGGUCUCAAACUCCUGACUUCAGGUAAUUUCCCCUGCCGCAGCCUCCCAAAGUUUUGGAAUUACAGGCAUGAGCCACUGCGCCCUGCCCGUGGUAGGAUUUCUGCUGUGAGCACUUAGAGGGUUGGGCCUAAGAGCCUGAGGAACCCAGGUGGGAGGCCCAGAGGAGGAAGGGGGCAUCCAGGGCCAGCUCUCCCCAGUUCUCCAUGGGCUGGUUCCUGCCCCAGGCUCUGCAGAACAGUGCUCGACACCACGAGGAACCCAUCAGGCAGUGACACUGGAAGAGACCUGGUCCCUGAUGCCUCCAGGAACCUGAGCACCUGAUCUCCCUCCGCCCCCUCCUGAGAAGCCCACAAGCAGCCCACCUCCUUCCCUAUCUGUUCGCAGCAUCUCAUGCUGGAAACACCUGCUGUUCUUGUCUUCCAGAGCCCUCACCACAUCCAGAUGGAGUCUCGCUCUGUUGCCCAGGCUGGAGUGAAUUUGCAUGAUCUUGGCUCACUACAACCUCUGCCCCCCAGGUUCAAGCAAUUCUCCUGCCUCAGCUUCCCAAGUAGAUGGGAUUACAUGGGGCCCACCACCAUAUCUGACUACUUCUUGUGUUUUUAGUAGAGACGGUGUUUCACCAUGUUGGUCAUACAGCUCUCAAACUCCUGAUCUCAGGUGAGCCACCUGACUCAGCCUCCCAAAGUGCUAGGAUUACAGGCAUGAGCCACCAUACCCAGCCUCACUUAGAUUUCAAUAAACACAUAUGCCACUGGCUGCCAUAUGGGAGACUCAGUUCUAUACCCUUUUAUAGGUUUUGAACUUUGAAUCAUUUAAAUGAAUCACCUAUUUUUUAAAUUGUAGAAUUUAAUAGAAUAGUGUUUAGAUAGAAUUAAUCUAAAUGAAAUCUACAAUAGAAUUUAAAUUGUACCAGUGCAUACUUUGUUGUUUUCUUUUUUUUUUUUUACUCUUGAAAUACAGAAUUUUAUUUAGAAACUGUUUAAAGUAGAAAAAACCCUGUCAAGAAAGACCAGGUGGAAAAUGGGUUCCCAAUAAAAUGGAAUUUUAGGGCAAUGAAAGUCUAAAAGGCCACACAAGAGAAAUAGCGCCACUGUCAUUUGAACAAUGGCUGGUUACUUGCAUUUUUUUGGCAUUGUUAAUCACUGAAUCUGGGUUUUCCUCUGAAUUCCACACAGAGCAUGCACUACACAACAAUUUUAUCAUAAAGCACUUGCUUUCUACACACAUUUUAGGACAAGCUACCACCAGAAACAAAUCAAUACAAAUACAUCAGGGGCUGAACAGUCUCAGUAGUGGGUGAGACACAUUUUGCAGAAUCCUGCCAAAAAAGGAACUGAAUAGGGUGUGGGCAAAGCAAAUCAGGGAGAGCUAAGGAAUGAAAUAUUUUAAAUAUUAAUAAUUAAUUCAGACACGGUACUGUAUUUUCUGCAAAAGAAAAUGAACAUUUAGUAACACACUAAUGAAUUUUAUCUUCAAAGAGAUUAGUGCACUGGCAAAGUAUUCGGAUUACAGCGGAGAGCUAUGGACAGCAGAUACCGAAAACACCCCAGCCUUGCAGAUCCCAAGGUAACGACGGCCUUCACCGACCACUCGCUUCGCCAGAGGUCCAAAAGAACUUGCAGCAUGAUCGCCUGUCUGCUGCAUUUCCAACUCUAAGCAGCCAGCUUCAAGGAGCCAAAGAGGAGUCCCCAAUGGCAAGGGGACCAGAGAAGAGAAACAUGGUAAAUGUAAACCCAAAAGACAGUAAAAUGGGAUACAAUCGCCAUUGAAAUCCCAGAGAUGUGGACAAGUCCCAAAAAGUAGUUGUUAGAUUAAACAACUGGGCACACCUCACUUCCCCAAAAACAUAAUACAUAGAAAUUUCAGGGACAACUGGAAAAAUGGAGAAAUGCUCAAUGAAAACCGAGCUCUUCAACUCAAACAUCUCAGGGCUGAAACACAUCCUCUAUUAUUCAGGCAACGAUGCCUCUUGCCUUUUAGCAAGGAUGCAACUGGUCAAUGACACCAAAUGGCUUUACAGGGCGACUUUUUAAAUGUUCCUUUUAGACCAAAGCCUAGGCCUGUGAGGAUUCAAACAGCCCUGUAAGACCUGUGACAGCAGGUUCCAAAGGGUCCAAGGUCUGACCCUUCCUUCCCAGACACAAUGUCAAAUGCAAAAUCUCCUGUCAUGUACAUUUUAUAUUUUGAAAUAUGGAAGCAUAUUUUAAAUACUCUAAAGGCAUUUAUUUAUUACAACAUUCUCUGAUUUCACAUUAGCUUAAAAUUCAAUUCAGUCUUUACAUUACUCCACUGAGGUCGCCGCCUCAGCAUAUAACAUAACACCUCCUGCAGCACUCAGUGUGACCCGCUUCCGCACAGUGAGCCCCACAGUCAGCCUCUUUGUUUCCCAGGUGAACCAACUAGAUGUUAAUACUGCUCUGCUAUAAGGUAAAAGCUCCUAACUCAAACUUACUGGAAAAGGAGUGAAACGUCUGCAAAGUGCACUUUAAGAAGAGGUACUUUUUGCUUAUGAAAAGAAACCAGUGAGUCCUCUAAGGAUAAUAAAAGGGAGUAUUUUACAGUUAAGCACAUGAUUUGGAGUGAAGAAUUCGGAUGCUGCUCUGCUGGUCCAGGCUGUCAAUACUCUUCCUGCUCCUCCUGUGGGCCCCCUUCAUCAGGUAUCACAAAGCCUUCAUCUGUGGCAUACAGAAUGUCUACAAUCCUCUGCAAUACAGGGUCGUUUUCCCCCUCAUUCUCCUGGCAAAUCAAUUCAAUGUUCCGUAGCUUUCCGAAGUAGAAGUCCCUCUCUUUCUCCAAGUCUUCAACAGUAAGUUUCAAUAUGUUGACCUGCUGCAUCAACUCAGCUGCCUUGUCUCCCCAUUGCCCACACCAGGGUUCUUUCGCACCACACCAGGGCCAGCCUUAGGAGCUGCAGCAGUUCUCUGUGUUGAGAUGGGCCUCUGGGGAGCUGCCCUACUAGAACUGAGAGGUUUAUUUGGUUUAUUCAGAGCUGGAGCAACGAGGGAGGAACCACUGCAGUUUCUUGACUUUGUCUGGCAGCCACAGGGUCAUAGUCUUUUCCAUCAUAGUUUGCAUCAAAAAACUACUUGAACCACUGAACAAAUUCAAAAUUGUCCUGAAACUUUCCUUUUACUAAUUUGUCCACAGGAAUUAUUUUGUCAACACCCAUCCUCUUAAAACCCGCUUGUAGUAUUUUGAAGUUCUAGAUGUACUCGUGUUCUAGGUUAGCUUGGAAUUUCACUUUCUUCAAGGCAAUGGAGCCAGGAAACAGCAUGUCCAUAAACUGACAAUAGGCAGCCCCUGAGCACAACUGUUCAAUCUUUGUCAGAUUCAACUGCAGAGACUCAUUGAUCCAGGCCAGCAUGUCAUGUCGACU
Molecule: long non-coding RNA, 3740 nt
Organism: Callithrix jacchus (white-tufted-ear marmoset)
Lineage: Eukaryota; Metazoa; Chordata; Mammalia; Primates; Cebidae
Source: Ensembl